AUGAUUUUCUUUUCAAUUCUAGGUUCUGGAGGUCUAAGUUUUCUUCAAUUCUGCAACCUCGACAGUUUUAGGACAAAGUUUGUAUUAGGCUUCUCUAUCUUCCUGGGCUUAUCUAUCCCACAGUACUUUAACGAGUACACAUCAAUUAAUGGGUUUGGUCCAGUUGACACUGGAGCAAGAUGGUUCAAUGAUAUGGUAAAUGUGUCAUUCCAAUCAAAAACAUUUCGUUUGAGACAGCGUUUCUACAGAGAGAAAGAGGGAAAACUAAUCUUAGUUUUGUUCCAAUCUUAG
RNAcentral lists this long non-coding RNA (291 nucleotides) under Vicia faba (fava bean). The record is from RNAcentral. Lineage: Eukaryota; Viridiplantae; Streptophyta; Magnoliopsida; Fabales; Fabaceae.